This 450-nucleotide ribosomal RNA is filed under the name uncultured bacterium. Its description in RNAcentral is "bacterial SSU rRNA". It matches the Rfam family "Bacterial small subunit ribosomal RNA", at positions 354 to 796 of the family's 1533-position model. The record is from RNAcentral.
GUGGGGAAUAUUGGACAAUGGGCGAAAGCCUGAUCCAGCCAUGCCGCGUGUGUGAAGAAGGUCUUCGGAUUGUAAAGCACUUUAAGUUGGGAGGAAGGGCAGUAAGUUAAUACCUUGCUGUUUUGACGUUACCGACAGAAUAAGCACCGGCUAACUUCGUGCCAGCAGCCGCGGUAAUACGAAGGGUGCAAGCGUUAAUCGGAAUUACUGGGCGUAAAGCGCGCGUAGGUGGUUUUGUAAGUUGGAGGUGAAAUCCCCGGGCUCAACCUGGUAACUGACUCCAAAACUGCAUGACUAGAGUACGGUAGAGGGUAGUGGAAUUUCCUGUGUAGCGGUGAAAUGCGUAGAUAUAGGAAGGAACACCAGUGGCGAAGGCGACUACCUGGACUGAUACUGACACUGAGGUGCGAAAGCGUGGGGAGCAAACAGGAUUAGAAACCCCAGUAGUCC